This 497-nucleotide ribosomal RNA is filed under the name uncultured bacterium. RNAcentral's name for it is "bacterial SSU rRNA". It matches the Rfam family "Bacterial small subunit ribosomal RNA", at positions 21 to 507 of the family's 1533-position model. The record is from RNAcentral.
GGCUCAGGAUGAACGCUAGCUACAGGCUUAACACAUGCAAGUCGAGGGGCAGCGGGAUUGAAGCUUGCUUCAAUUGCCGGCGACCGGCGCACGGGUGAGUAACGCGUAUCCAACCUUCCGUACACUCAGGGAUAGCCUUUCGAAAGAAAGAUUAAUACCUGAUGGUAUGAUGAGAUUGCAUGAUAGCAUCAUUAAAGAUUUAUCGGUGUACGAUGGGGAUGCGUUCCAUUAGGUAGUAGGCGGGGUAACGGCCCACCUAGCCUGCGAUGGAUAGGGGUUCUGAGAGGAAGGUCCCCCACAUUGGAACUGAGACACGGUCCAAACUCCUGCGGGAGGCAGCAGUGAGGAAUAUUGGUCAAUGGGCGAGAGCCUGAACCAGCCAAGUAGCGUGAAGGAUGAAGGUCCUACGGAUUGUAAACUUCUUUUAUACGGGAAUAAAGUUUCCUACGUGUAGGAUUUUGUAUGUACCGUAUGAAUAAGCAUCGGCUAACUCCGUG